Molecule: long non-coding RNA, 244 nt
Filed under: Lathyrus oleraceus (garden pea)
Lineage: Eukaryota; Viridiplantae; Streptophyta; Magnoliopsida; Fabales; Fabaceae
Description: Pisum sativum (pea) long non-coding RNA (PSAT_LNC027290)
Source: RNAcentral
AUUUAUUAGAGGGUUAAAUAGACUACAUCUCCUAAAAUGUAAGCAAGAUUUGAUUUACACUUCCGUAAAAUAACUUUUUUGAUUUUCCUUUGUAAUAUGAAGAUUUCUUAUCUAUGACCCUUAGUGCAAUAUUUAUUGACGUGACUUGUUUAUAUGUCAUUUUUUUUUAAAUUUAACGUGAAUUUUAUUUUAGUUUUUUUUUAAAUAUUUAUUUUUUAAUUUUAUUUAAUUUUUUUAUAACGAG